CGGUAGGGCGCAAGCGUUAUCCGGAAUUUAGUUGGGCGUAAAGAGCUCGUAGGCGGUUUGUCGCGUCUGCCGUGAAAGUCCGGGGCUCAACUCCGGAUCUGCGGUGGGUACGGGCAGACUAGAGUGAUGUAGGGGAGACUGGAAUUCCUGGUGUAGCGGUGAAAUGCGCAGAUAUCAGGAGGAACACCGAUGGCGAAGGCAGGUCUCUGGGCAUUAACUGACGCUGAGGAGCGAAAGCAUGGGGAGCGAACAGGAUUAGAUACCCUGGUAGUCCAUGCCGUAAACGUUGGCACUAGGUGUGGGGGACAUUCCACGUUUUCCGCGCCGUAGCUAACGCAUUAAGUGCCCCGCCUGGGGAGUACGGCCGCAAGGCUA
This 375-nucleotide ribosomal RNA is filed under the name uncultured organism. RNAcentral describes it as "bacterial SSU rRNA". It matches the Rfam family "Bacterial small subunit ribosomal RNA", at positions 525 to 896 of the family's 1533-position model. The record is from RNAcentral.